AGUGAACGCUGGCGGUAGGCCUAACACAUGCAAGUCGAACGGCAGCACAGUAAGAGCUUGCUUUUACGAGUGGCGAGCGGCGGACGAGUAAGGAAUACAUCGGCACCUACUUUUUCGGGGGGGACAACGUAGGGAAACUUAUACUAAUACCGAAUACGAGCUACGGGUUGAAGCAUGGGAUCUUCGGACCUUUGGCGAUUGACUGAGCCGAUGUCGGCUUAGCUAGUUGGUGGGUUAAAGGCCCACCAGGGCGAGGAACCGUAGCUGGUCGGGGAGGAUGGUCGGCGCCCUUGGAACGUGAACAGGGUCCAGACGCCUGCGGGAGGCACCAGAGGGGAAUGUUGGGCAAUGGGGGCAAGCAUGAUCCAGCCAGACCGCGUGGGUGAAAAAGGCCUUCGGGUUGUAAAGCCCUUUUGUUGGGAAAAAAAAGCAGCAGAUUAGUACCCCGCUGUUGUGACGGUACCCAAAGAAUAAGCACCGGCUAACUACGUG
This 492-nucleotide ribosomal RNA is filed under the name uncultured bacterium. Its description in RNAcentral is "partial 16S ribosomal RNA". It matches the Rfam family "Bacterial small subunit ribosomal RNA", at positions 29 to 507 of the family's 1533-position model. The record is from RNAcentral.